CCGAUGCCUCAGUUAGUUUCACGUACUGGAGAAAACCCUAAUUAUCAGUAGGAGAAUAGCUUGAAUGCAAUUUAUUGCUUACGUUUUACUUCUAGGUCAACCCUGUUUAUAUAGGCAUACGAUGCUUGCUGCCCAAGCAUCCUUGUUGCCCUAGGUUUCCUAUCACGUAUAGGAAACUUAGGAUCCUUUGGAUUCUCGUUCCCUUAUCUAUUUAUUUCCUUAGUCCUUUUAGGACUCCUUUCCAUGGUUGGCCGAACAUCCUAUUCCCGUUGGGUCUCUUCCCUGGAUCCUAUUUUCAUGGGAUCUUAUUCCUUACAGAAUACUACUGUUUUGCAUCCUUCUAGAUUAUUCCUUUUGUUUUAACACUCAAAGCUGCUUUCUUAGGAAAUCUUGCUCUGUUUGGCCUUCUCAUUGCCGAACAGGCUUAUUGGACCAAUGACUUCCCAUGUCAUCGGUUCCUAUUGACUGCUUGGACCAAUGACUUCUCAUGUCAUUGGUUCUCAUUGCCGACCACCGUCUUCCACGGCGACUUAUCCUAACUUAUUCCGUCGUCCCACGUACCACCUAUUUGGGCUCUAUCUGAGCUUGUUCGGGAAUACCUCCCUACAGUCCCAUCAUAACUAACGUUUUGCAUUCAUUUUCCAUACUGUAAACAGCACCAGGAAAAUUCUUUGAACUAUUUCAAAAUUUGUAGAUCUGUUUUCUGAUUGGUUUCCUUUACAUUGCUAGUAUUUUCAGUUCUUAUGGGUGUGAUUCUUCCACAUAUGUACCUUGUUGCCAUAGCUUAAUUUCUUUUCAGAGUUCUUGAUAAAAUUUAUUUGCUGACAACCGAGCAGACACGUUGGUUCCACAAACUUUAAUUGACUCAAACACUCAGUAGCAGAAGCCAUACGAUACUUACACCGGUAUGUAACUAUGUAUUAGUGAGCUUCAUUUUAACCUUAACGUAGGGCUAUGUGUCCAAUAUGAUUCAUUAGUCAUCACAUUUCAGUUGCUUUUCUUUAGCUAUUUGUAAGUUAAAAAAUUAUAUCGUUUUCAGAUUAGAUAGCUUUUGUGUGGGGUUAUGCCUAUCAUGACACCAAUGAACAUAGGGAUAUUGCUUGGCUCUUUUUAUCUAUUCGUACAUUUAUUUUGAACUUAUCUCAAAUUUCACUUGGUUUAGCUGAACUUCCCAGAGUCUAGGCCCAAUUAGAAUGAUGGUUAACCUGUGGUUAAAAAGUGUAUUUUUCCAAUUUAAUGUGAAUAGCAAGUGCAUUCCAGUUCUGACUAAAAUUUCCCUCCAGAAUCAUCUUUCUUGAGGAAGUUAUGUACUUUUUAAUUGGCAACUAAGGAAAAAAAGACUAUCCUUUCGUAAUAUAGAAAAGAGAGUGUGCUAGAGUAUUUCAUGAAAUUGGGCACACUCGAAGGAUCCACAUAUGUGAGCAUUUCAAAGUAGAAGGUUGAAACAAAUUGGGCACACUCGAAGGAUCCACAUAUGUGAGCAUUUCAAAGUAGAAGGUUAAAACAAAUUGGGCACACUCGAAGGAUCCACAUAUAUGAGCAUUUCAAAGUAGAAGGUUGAAACAAGGACUUGAGGAAAUUUGGCUUUGGUUAAAUGGGGGUUCCACACCAAGUUGCUGCGAAGAAGAUCUUCAUUUGAUAUUUCUUAUCUACGAUCAAAUACUAGUAGCUGUUUGUCGUCCUUUGUUUUUUCAUUGUUUCCUUUCUGAUGAACCCCGUUGCUUUGUUAACAGACAAUAGAGAGUAGCCCUUGUGGUGAUAAUUGUGAAGGUGGGGCAGUAAACUUGUCGCAGCUGAACCUUAUCGAUCUGGCAGGUUCUGAAAGCUCGACCCGAAGGCCGAAACUACUGGUGUGGGUCAAAAAGAAGGAUCCUAUAUCAAUAAAAGCCUACUAACUCUUGGAACCGUGAGGAUUCAAUUUUUAUUAUUUCAUUAGCAUAGUAGUUUGGUCUACGACUGUCUUAUUAAUGUUGUCAAAUUAUAGUUCAUUCCAUGUAACUAAUCUUUCUUACUGCAUGCGUAAUGCAUGACUAUCAUCGUGGGAUAUAUCUAUUAAAGGGAAAUAAGUAUUACGUAUUGAAAGA
Long non-coding RNA from Rhododendron vialii, 2084 nucleotides. RefSeq lists it as uncharacterized. Lineage: Eukaryota; Viridiplantae; Streptophyta; Magnoliopsida; Ericales; Ericaceae. The transcript has 2 exons. The record is from RefSeq and is a predicted model, not a curated record.